Long non-coding RNA from Magnolia sinica, 511 nucleotides. RefSeq lists it as uncharacterized. The transcript has 3 exons. Lineage: Eukaryota; Viridiplantae; Streptophyta; Magnoliopsida; Magnoliales; Magnoliaceae. The record is from RefSeq and is a predicted model, not a curated record.
CAGAUGAUGUUUGCUUAUACAGAGAUUUUAACAUCUUUCCCACUAGUUGCAACUGACUUUAUCUUGGCAUGCAGGAUGUCUACCCACAAGCUAGGAAGCUAUUCCUCAGCAAAGUACUCCAAUAUAUAAAGGAAAGGCUUCUGGAUGCGAAGUAUGCAUGUGGCUUCUUAUUCAACAUAACUGGAUCCCAUCCACUUGAGUUUAUAGAGGACAAGCAUAACCUAAUGGAAGUUGUUCAAAUGUGUCACUGACUAAAGGCACUCCAACUUUCUAUGCAACGUGAUGUGAACUCGUCCUCCACUUAUCUAGAAAAUAUUCUCACAUAUUUGCUCCUUGCACUUUCACAUCAUCCUUCAUGUCCUAAUGUUGAUGAAUGCAAGGAGGUUCAAGCAUUUGAAUCAAUUUACUGAUGUGAAGGUGGGCAAUCAGGAGUUUCCCAAAAAGGGAAAAGGAAAGUCUUUCUACAAUACUAUCUUCCAAAAUAUAAUGGGAAAGGUACUGAUGGUAUGUU